UACGGGGGGGGCAAGCGUUGUUCGGAAUUACUGGGCGUAAAGGGCUCGUAGGUGGCCAAUUAAGUCAGACGUGAAAUCCCCAGGCUUAACCUGGGAACUGCGUCUGAUACUGGUUGGCUUGAAUUCGGGAGAGGGAUGCAGAAUUCCAGGUGUAGCGGUGAAAUGCGCAGAUAUCAGGAGGAACACCAAUGGCGAAGGCAGCUCACUGGGACGAUACUGACGCUGAGACGCGAAAGCGUGGGGAGCAAACAGG
RNAcentral lists this ribosomal RNA (253 nucleotides) under uncultured bacterium. Its description in RNAcentral is "partial 16S ribosomal RNA". It matches the Rfam family "Bacterial small subunit ribosomal RNA", at positions 524 to 776 of the family's 1533-position model. The record is from RNAcentral.